RNAcentral lists this long non-coding RNA (349 nucleotides) under Chinchilla lanigera (long-tailed chinchilla). RNAcentral describes it as "lncRNA (ENSCLAG00000022427.1)". Lineage: Eukaryota; Metazoa; Chordata; Mammalia; Rodentia; Chinchillidae. The record is from RNAcentral.
AUGACUCCUUCCCGCCCCACUGUAGUGCUUGCGUGUUCAUUAAGGCCCACCAGACUGAGUGGAAGAAGCUGCUUACCUGUCAUCGCUCAGAGAAGCCUGCACCGACACCCGAAUCGCUCCCAUCCAGCACUGUACCAUCACUGCUGCAGGUGCUUUACGGAACAAACCAGGACCUGAUUUUAGGUUUGUUUGCCUCUUCAUUGUGUGUGUCACCACCGAAUGGAGUCUGCACAAGGCCUUGUCCGCCAGGUAAGCUCAGUACCUAAAACAGAGUCUGAAACAGGGUGAACUCAAUAAAUGUGUGUUGAAUAGAUUCCCUGGCUUAGUGAACGAAUAUGUGGUUAUACCG